GCCGAAGUGGCGGAACUGGCAGACGCGCUAGGUUCAGGGUCUAGUGGGAGCAAUCCUGUGCGGGUUCGAAUCCCGCCUUCGGCACCA
Molecule: transfer RNA, 87 nt
Filed under: bacterium BMS3Abin06
Lineage: Bacteria
Also listed under: 3 other names
Description: tRNA-Leu
Rfam family: tRNA
About the family: Transfer RNA (tRNA) molecules are approximately 80 nucleotides in length. Their secondary structure includes four short double-helical elements and three loops (D, anti-codon, and T loops).
Source: RNAcentral